AAAAAGAGGCAAAGAAAGCCAGACAGCCGGACUCAACAAAAGAAACAAAAGAAAGAGUGCUUGUAUCACACAAGCCUGAAGGUUUUCCCCAUCAGGAGUGUGAUCAAGGAGAGAGUCAGAAAGGUUGUAUAGGCAAAAGAAAGACAAGGAUAUGAGGAUUAGGAAAGCUGUAUACAAAAUUAACAUCCAAUUCUAGACUCUGAAAAGCACACAUGGCUGUUUCACAUUCAGUCAUGAAUAGCAAGUUUUAGAUUCCUAGAUAGAAUGUAUGAACUUUAUGACAGUCAUACACAGUACAAACAUGAAACUCACACGAAUAUUCUUCAAAUUAAAUAAAGUAUUUUUUCCUCCUCAUAGGGCAUAUCGGAGAUUUUUGUGGACUGGCAGCCUUGCCCAGUGUGUGGAGAGGAGUGGCCCAAGUCCUGGCAACCAAAGGCGACCAUACAACCUGUC
This is a long non-coding RNA of Hypomesus transpacificus, 453 nucleotides long. RefSeq lists it as uncharacterized. NCBI's taxonomy places the organism in Eukaryota, Metazoa, Chordata, Actinopteri, Osmeriformes, Osmeridae. The record is from RefSeq and is a predicted model, not a curated record. The transcript is spliced from 3 exons.